AAUGAACGCUGGCGGCAUGCCUAACACAUGCAAGUCGAACGAAGUCUUCGGACUUAGUGGCGCACGGGUGCGUAACGCAUGGGAAUCUGCCCUUGGGUACGGAAUAACUCAGAGAAAUUUGUGCUAAUACCGUAUAAUGUCUUCGGACCAAAGAUUUAUCGCCCAAGGAUGAGCCCGCGUAGGAUUAGGUAGUUGGUGAGGUAAAAGCUCACCAAGCCGACGAUCCUUAGCUGGUCUGAGAGGAUGAUCAGCCACACUGGGACUGAGACACGGCCCAGACUCCUACGGGAGGCAGCAGUGGGGAAUAUUGGACAAUGGGCGCAAGCCUGAUCCAGCAAUGCCGCGUGAGUGAUGAAGGCCUUAGGGUUGUAAAGCUCUUUUACCCGGGAUGAUAAUGACAGUACCGGGAGAAUAAGCUCCGGCUAACUUCGUG
RNAcentral lists this ribosomal RNA (433 nucleotides) under uncultured bacterium. RNAcentral describes it as "bacterial SSU rRNA". It matches the Rfam family "Bacterial small subunit ribosomal RNA", at positions 29 to 507 of the family's 1533-position model. The record is from RNAcentral.